UACGUAGGGUGCGAGCGUUGUCCGGAAUUAUUGGGCGUAAAGAGCUCGUAGGCGGUGUGUCACGUCGGCCGUGAAAACCUGCAGCUUAACUGUGGGCGUGCGGUCGAUACGGGCAUCACUGGAGUUCGGCAGGGGAGACUGGAAUUCCUGGUGUAGCGGUGAAAUGCGUAGAUAUCUGGAGGAAUACCGGUGGCGAAGGCGCAUCCUGGACCGGCAUUGACGCUGAGGAGCGAAAGCCAGGGGAGCAAACGAG
RNAcentral lists this ribosomal RNA (253 nucleotides) under uncultured bacterium. Its description in RNAcentral is "partial 16S ribosomal RNA". It matches the Rfam family "Bacterial small subunit ribosomal RNA", at positions 524 to 776 of the family's 1533-position model. The record is from RNAcentral.